AAUAAUACUACUUAGAUAAUAGAAUAUUGUGUAAGUUUUUAUUUCUAUAUAAAAUGUAUUAAUAAUUUUCUAAUUUUCUACUAUGCUUUAAAUAUAUUUUAGGUUUUAAUAGGUAAACUUUGAGAAUGUACAUAUAAAAAUAUUCAAGAGAAAUAAAAAAAAAUGCAUUGCAAUUGCGUAAAUUUACAGUUUUUUAUCCGAAUUUUGGAUGCAAAAAGAUUAUAAAGUUACACAAAUUGCAACGAAUUUCUUUUUAUCUCGAUCUCUUGUCUUUACAUAUUCUCAAAGUUUAUCUACUAAAUUUGAAGCAAUAUGCAUAUUUAUAGCAACGAGUUUCAAUGCAUCAAAUACAUUACACCGUUACAUUGCAGUAACCUUACAUUGUAUAAUAUUUCUCAAGGCGGACAUUUCAGCGUUGUCGCAAGCUUGCAGUAACAUUGCAGAAAUAUUUCGCAACGUCCAUGCAAUAUUACAAUAUUUCAAUGUAAGAUUUCUACAAUGUUUUUGUAAUCUUUCGGUGCUCUAUGGGACUAUUAACCGCGUAUGACGUACGCAUUUCCUCGCGUAUACCCUCGUAAAACGAGACUGCGAGCGUUCCGAAAGAUGCGUCGCAUCGCGGAACGCGGCGUGUAUGUACAUACAUAGAUACAAAUUUCGAUCUCGUCACCAAUUCCAAGGUACGUGGUACGAGGCGGCGGGUAGGGGCGAGGGGCGGGAAGAGUGAGCGACUGAGGGCGGCGGGAGGAGAGGGGGACGAGAAAAGGUCGCGAAAGCGCUGGACACUGACGUCGCCGUUGUUUGUGCCGGCGCGGCGCGGCGAGACGCGUGAAGUUGGCCGCGUUCGCAAUUUUUCGCGCUCUAACUCGGUAAACGUCUCGAGCGGGAACCUUUUUCCGCGCGAUGUACUCCCGUUGUCGUCGUCGUCGUCGUAACGAAGUGCGCGUCGCGUACGGUCAACAUCGGGAGUGCCGUGUAAAGUGCCGCGCAGCCAUAAUUUAAUAAACCGUCUUUUCCACGAGUGAGCACGAGCUGCGUGCUUCUGUGUUGUGUGGGUGUGCGCGUAGGAGCAGCCGGGAGGAGCGAAGGAGGGAGGGGCCGAGUAGCGGAGGAGGAGGAGGAGGAGGAGGAGAGCCCGGGGAGGCGUCGGGCGACGGCGGAGCAACCACGCGAUCUCAACGUGGCCACGAUGCAGUGUUACAACUCCGCUGUUGCGCGUCGAAGCAGUGAGUUGCCUUUUAUCUUAAUCAGAGGUAAUGGAACCGUGAAUGUGCUGCGGAUGGAUGUAACCUAUCAUAGAUCCACCACCUCGUCCGCAACUAAGUUCCAUUCGUCGCGUUGUCAGUUCGAGGACGGCUUUUCCUGUUCGGUCGUGAUCAAUGUGAAAUAUAAAGAGCACUCGGCAUCGAUUUCCGUUUUAAGGCGUGUUAAAUAUAUUUGCCAACAAUAAUCGAACCGCCACGUGGUCCCGACGCGUUGUUUCUGCGGCGAGUUGUACGCAAGAUGCAAGCGGGCGAGUUGCACCUCAUCGCAUUAGCUAUAACCUACUGCGAGACGUCAUCGAUUAUCAACGGAUCGAUAAUUGGAGAGGUGAGAAUAGAGAUAAUUACACGAGGCAUACUUUCACGCGGAAUUUAUCUUAAAGGAUACUCCGGAGAAAAGAGAAGGAGAUCUCGGCGAUUAGGCGAGCCCGCGAAUCUUCCUGAGAUGAGACCUAACGAAUCCCAUUACUUUCAUUGGCGUCGCGCGACAAUACUCGAGAUGUUCGUGGUCGAAUUUUGCACGUGUGAAGCUUAGUUCGCGAAAAAGCUCCUCCCGUUUUUUCUAUUACGGGAAAUUGAAAACGUCAAUCGCGCGGAGAAAAAAGUUAUAUCGAUUAAAUUAUAGUAAUUAGAAUGGCUCUUCGAAACCUUGUUUUUUAAUAUUCAGUUAAUUUCCUUUAAUUAAACUAGAUUAAUUAAGGUUUAUUUUUGUGCAGUUUAUUCUCUCACACUUUACAUUAUUCUCAUUACUUUAUACAAAUGUGGGAGGGGGGGAAAAGAGAAGACUGGUUGCUCAACGUUUUUAUAUUUCUCCAGUCUUCAUUUUGUGGAAAUAUCUCUAGAGCGAAUGCACGCUUAAAUUCGUUCCAAACUCGGGCUCGCUCCACUUGCAAAAAUAUUUUUUACCUUUCGGCAUUUAAUCGAAUGUAACUUUGUCAGCUAGUUAAUUAGCUUAAAUGCGCUCUUAAUUUCUGGGGGCUGGAAUCCUCGAGGAUAAGUAAAUUAAUUGAAGUUUAUUUGAACUCGAUUCUUCUUUUUUCUUUUCCAAUUGGCGAUCUUUUAAAUUUUAUCGCGCCGCAAUAUCGAUAUAUUCCUAUUCGCGGGGGGAUACACGACGAAGGACUCUCGCGCAGAUUGCUCGGGGCAAUCUCGCGGGAGACGGCGAGCCGAAGCAACCCGGAGUGGCUUUCUCGCUGGAAGCUCGCGAAAGCGCCGAACGUGCCGGGGGUAUUUCGGGGCUCUGCGAGUUUUCGCAAAGUUAUGCGAAACACGCGAAGCGAGUUUCGCUGUUUGAUCGGUAUGACGCUCUCGCAUCCAUCCUUGCUUGCCCUCUUGGCUGGCUGCGCUGCAUUAUUAAGACGUGACCUACCCCGACGAAGAAAAUUCCGCCGUUAUCAGCGGCGAUAAGCUAAUUACGACAAGUCCGACGAGCCGCUUUUCGUGUUCAAUUUACUCGCCGCUUCCGCUUGUUUGUCUUUCCCUGCCUCGCUCCGGGACUUUAAUCCUUUCAUCGUUAGUCCUCGCAAUCUAACAAAUUCCCUUAAUGCAUCGUUUUAUUGAAAUAUUGUGCUCCGCCGCUUUUAUCGCCGUACUUGGUAAAAGCACAAGUUACACACAUCGACUUUGCGCAAACAAUUACGAAAGAGUACAUCUAUUAAUAUUAUUACAGAGCCACGUAUGUCGACAAAUUAAGGUAAAUCUUUUUGUUGACAAUUGCUUGAAAGUAAUCGUAAUCAGAUGUAAGCGAUAAAAAAAAAAUUGAAAUUGAAUUUUUAUAGUUGGCUUUUUAUUUAAUUCCAAUGAAACUCUUCUGCCCAAAGUUAAAAAGAGAUUUAAUCAAUUUGUGAAAUUAACCGCUUUCUGCCUAAUUUCCCUCCACGAUGAGGCCAAUAGGCAAAUAAUUAUUGAGAAAUUAAUUUAAGUCUAAUCUUCGAUGCUCACUCGACUAAUUAAGAACAUUUUAAAGCGGUCUCCAUUUGGAGCAGAUCCGUUGUAAAUAUUGAAAUAGGUCCCUUGUCAAUUUUGUAAUAGGAUAACAUUUGCAUUAUACCGAUAUCCGGUUAAUUCUGUCAAAUCGCCCGUGAAAUUUUGCGGGUGUUAAAUAUUUUGUAGGGAUAAUCUCAAUCGCAAUAUUGACGUUUUCCUAACAGAAGGCCAAUUUGAGAAUUAAAUUUCGAUAGACUCCAAUAAUUGCACGAACGACGAUCGAAAUUCGAUAUCCUCUUUUGACCAUCGUAUAUUUCCGUUUAAUGUCGUGUCACCUUGCGUGCUUCGAAUUUACUUCGAGAGACCUUCCGCGUAUCAGGCACUUGCAUGUCCCGGGCCUUUUUUUCAUUCUGUGUAGCAUCCUGCGGUAAGUUUGAAGGAUUCGCGCGGAUUUAACAAUGCGAGGAUUACGAUAAGAGAGAUAAGAGAACAGCUAGGAGUAAUAGGAUUUCGGAUUGAAAGGAAAAAUCCAAUCUAUACCUGCGUACGUAAUAUAGAGGGUGUCCCUCUCGAGUACAGUUUAUUAGUUUUGCACAAGUGCGGUGAUUGUCGUAACCGCGAUUAUGCAGUUAUUACAAGCGAAACAGCGUUGCGGAACAUAAAGCUCUUAAAAAAAAAACCAUUAUUAAUUUUACAAUAAACAGUUCAAUUUUGAAAUUUUUCAAUUUUUUUUUUUUAACGUUUGUUAGAAAAACUUCUAGUGGGUUGAAAUAUGACACUUUUAGCGGAGAGGAGAGGAGGAAAUCGUACGGCUUUUCUUGACCUGCGCUCUUUCUAAGGGAGACUUAAAAGUCCUCGGACGUGCCGGGAAUAUCCAGGACACCGUGUACAUAUCCAUCCGCAUUCCAAUCCACACGGCUGAAGAUAGAAAUCGAUUUAAAAGCUCGAAGUAGAAUACGAGUAGGAAUUAAUUUGAAGGUAUCGCGUGAUAUAUAGGAUUUCGAGGGCUCGUAGGGUCGCGCGGACGUUGCAAUAUCGGGAUAAUUCGAAGAUUCGAAACGAUUUGGGGAUACUCCAUCGCGGUACUCUAUGUAGAUGGAAAAAUAUAGUCCGCUAUAUCGAUUGCCGACUUUACCUGGCGCACUUUUAUGGGUAAACUGUGCGCUCUCUCCCCUCUUCCCCUCCUCUCUCUCUCUCCCUCCCUCUCUCACUGUCUGUCUGUCUGUCUGUCUGUCUGUUUUUGUGUGCGUCCGUGUGCAGCAUUUUGUACAGCUUUCAUUCUGUCGAAUAUCUAUGGCCAGCCGCGCUCGCCACGCGGCUGCUGACCCGCGGGAUAUUUGUCCGGACUAGUCCGGGACACGUUAUUCCCGGUCCGAAGGUCUGGCCGACCGGGCUGGCGGCGUCAUAAAUCACCGACCACUUUGUUCCGCGGUGCGCGAGAAUAUCGUGCCAGGUGGCACGGCCACGUGGAGAAUGCUCCCCCUUUUGUCCUCUUUUUUUGUGGUGUCCGCCACUUGCAAUUAACCCUUUUUUUCGAGCCUUUAUUAUUAAGAGAGAUACAUGCUCGCGACAUUCCCUCCUGGGCGAUAUUUGUCAACUAAUUUCGGACGGAAUUUGCAACGGGACCCGCGAGUAGGAACAUUAGUGACAUAAAUUACACCGCGAGGAAUUAAAUUGCUGGAUCGUUAUAUACAUUUGGAACAAGGGAAAGAGAUCACACAUACAUAUAAGCGGAAUUUAAGCGCUUUGAGGCCGUAAAAGGAAAUCGAUCUGAACACCGUAAUAAGUUUUCGAAAUGAGUAUUCACAUCAAGGACAAUGAGAACCUGUUACUGUUAUGAUUUCUACAAACUAGAUAUUAUUGAAUUGAAUUUGAAAAAGUAAAAAUGGAGACGGAAACGUUUGGCUGGAGAAAAACGGCGGCUUUGUAAAAUCAUUGAUCGUGCGACACGGCGGGGCUUUCAAAGCUUUCGAGUGGAGCGUUCGAGUGCCCGGAGCGAUCAAACUUUCGAGUGACGAGCGGUUCGAAACGUGCUUCCGCUUCUCAGAGAAAGCGUGUAGUCUCUACCUUUCGCAGGAUAAACGCGCGCGCGACAACAUUCUGCCGUCUCGCGCUCCCCCUUAAAUCGAUCAUCGCUUUCAUAAAGCGUCACCCGCCCGGAAUGACCUCCCCGUGAAUGAAAGGUGGAGGCAGGAUAAAGUUCGGGGAACGAGCGGGGGGUGGAUACAAGAGAAAAGAAAAAAUUCUUCUCGUCCCGCGCCUUGGGAAUACCUUUCUUCUCGUCUCCGAGAAAGAGAGCGGCACUUCCUCCCUCUCAAAACUUUGGGGAUGUCAAACUUUGGGAUUCCAGAAUCGUCAAGCUUAGGAGUUUAGCUACAGGUUGGCGCCUUAAAUUCUCACAGUCAUAGAAAUCCGCAAGACUGCGAGUUUAGCUGUAACUUUUAAUCCAAAGGUCGAGAAAGUUAAAAACUUUUGAGACGCGCGGGAUUUCGGACGUGUUACGAAUUUUUGGGUCGACUUUUGGAUGGAUUAAAAUUAUGAAAUCUAAAGAUGCGUUCGACAAAAUUUAAACUGGGCGUCAAGGACUUAAUUUCUGAAUCUGAAUAUUUUAUUUAUAGCAUAUUUUAAAUGUAUACAUCACUGUUGCGUGCUCAUUAACAUAGAAAGAAAUUACAAGAAAAUGUUUAAUGCAUUUUGCAAAAUCAAAAUUUUAUAUACUUUUUCGUCUACUAUUGUCAAUGUGUAUUUUAUAAAAGUUAUAACUAUAACAUUAUGUAUAUGAUAUGUUUCAUUUUAUUUUUACUUAGUUACUAUAUGUAUAACUAGUAUCGUAACGUUCAGGGGGAUUUCAAGAAGUAAUUUAACGAAAAGUUAUUCAGUUUGAUAUGAAAUAUCAGAUUAUGCACUCCACGUACCGUGGAUCUGUUUCCAUCUGAAUGUUUAAAGAAGACCUUUAGUCCUCCGCGCACCGUUUAAGUUUCAACUUAUUACCAUAAAGAAAAUAAAAGGAUCCCUUUACGUCGAGUUAAAUGUAACGGCGAGUCAGGUUGCUAUUUCUUUUUCGCCAAGUUUCGCGAGUGUUCGCUUGAACGAAAUUUCGCAAAAAUUUCCACAGAAAUGCUUUUUGUAAAAAAGAUUCUUGCCUCUUUAACAUAAUACGCAAGGCGCUCGACUAUUAGAAGAUGUUUACUUCAAUGGAGCGUUUCGGAAGAUUGAAACUUUCAGAAUAUGACAUUUCCACAUGCACGGUAUCUUAAUAGUUUCGCUAAACUAAUUAUAGGACUUAAUAUUAGUUAAAAUUAGUUAUGAGACAGUUCGGCUAUGAUUAAGAUUGGUUAUGGCUUGAUAUUAACUUUUAGAGAAUAAUGCGUUUCCUCUAAUUUGGGAUCCUGUUCGAAAAAUUGAUGCUUGUUUCUGAAAUGUUUAAGAAGGACGAAGUUUCGUUUCAGGCUUUUGUAUGUACGAAAGUAAAGAUCAAUACUAAAAUAAGCAAAUAAAUUUCAACGUCGAGAGCACUUGGAUUUCGUACAUAAAUCUCAUGAAAUAUAGGGAACAUACAUAUAUGACGAUACUAAAAGAAGUCGACAAACUUUGCAAGCAUAUUCUUUUAUCGGCUUAGGAUUUUUCCUUGUAAAAAAUUGUAUGAAUGCCACUUUUUUCUGUACAGGGUUUUUAUUUUUUAAGUUAAAUUUUUUUCAAAUUUUAGAGAUCAUUUAAACAGAGAUUAAAUUGAAAUUAAAUGGUAAGGGAUUUUAUUAUAUUUCUUUCCAUUUCUAGAGCUCGAUUCGCCAAAUCUUUUAUACCGAUUGCCUAAAAAAAAACAGUCUCGAUACCUUUUAUUGAGGAAAGAAAGGAAAAUCGAAUUAAUUUCUGCGAAUUAGACAGACGAGAAAUUUCAGCUUCUUGAAAACUGCAGCGGUUUUUCGAAUUUGUCGACAUAUAAAAAGAGAUUGACAUUUACAAAUAGAAAUUUCGUCGACAAGUUGAAAUGCCGCGGAAUUGUGUCGAAGAGUAUGCGAGCUCGAAUUCGGGCGCGAUGUAUUGACACAUCCUGGACCACGUUUUUCCUUUUUCUUCUCUGCCUGAUGGAUUCGGAGGGUCGCGAGGAUGGAAAUAGCUCGCCGUGUGUACGAAAAUUCCUAUUCAAUGUCCUCUUUAUUCCCCAUUUCUUCUAUUUCCAUUCUAUCACCCGGAGAUGCGGGGAUUUAAGAAUACGAAGAACGAUAAACUUUUGCGGAGAGGCAAAAGUGCCGCUCUUAAAAAAUCGAGUAAACUGAGAAUUCGCCAAGUCACAUUUAUGUGUUAUAAGGAACUUUUGAAAUUUGAAGAAUCGUGGAUCCCACGAACUAAAUGUUUGAGUGAGCGGAUAAAAGUGCUAACGGUCAAAUAUUCGAAGAAUAAAAGUUUAGCUGCGUUCCGCAUUUGAGAAAUCUUGGGAAUCGAGGGAGACUUUUUUUAAGAAGCAAAAAUUUUGAGCAUUAAAAAGUUUUUAUUUUCACUUAACAUUUCUAAUUAAUUCGCUGUUUAUUCUUUUCAAUGGUAGAUUUCAAGACUGUAGUGGAAAAAUUAGUUUGUUGAUUCUCUCUCUCUCUCUCUCUCUCUCUCGGAAAAAGCUGAGGUGGGAAAAAUAAAAACUAUCGGAUAUCAUCGGGGUAGGUAUAUUCGAGGUGCAAGCAUGGAUGCGCGAAAAUCUGCAGGCGAAUUCAAUUUUCUAGGCUUGUAGCGAGCGCUAUUAAAGCGGUAUCGCGUUGCUGUUGCAUCACGUUCCAUCACUUUUGAGUGCUUAAUAUGGCCGCCAUCGCGCCAUUAAGCAUAUCGAUGCAGCCUUUGCGUCGCUGCAAAUUUCGAUUAACGGAUGGCUUCGCCGAUGCAUAAUAACAAACGACUCGCUAUUCACGCGAGAGGUAGCUUAGUGAUAUUGACAACGGGGAUUUAUGUCUACCAUGAUUAAUCUAUUACUGGCUCGUGUAAAGUGCAUCCUCUAUUUCUACCACUGUGGAUUUCGUUUUGUUUUCGAAUAAUGGUAGGUAAAAUUUAAUUUACCAAAAAGAUGACGAAUAAAAAAUUUUAUUCUUGAAAGAAACAAAAAUUGUUUAAAAAGUAAGUUUAAAAAGUAAGUUUGAGAAUUUUUUACUAUUUUGAGAAUGUCUCGCAAUCAGAUAUCGAGAAUUUGUAUGGAAUUUAGAAAAUUAAAAAAUAACAUUUGAAACAAAGGAGAGUUUAUAUUUUCUUCAUUUUUAAAUAAACAUGCAAUCUUUUGAUAAUUAAAAAGAAACAUUAACUGAACUUUUAGUUUUUUCUAUUUCUGCAAUUUUUUAAAAAUUUGAAUUUCUUUUAUAAAAUCAUUUAUUUCUGUAUUUUCGAAUAUAAAUUUCAGUGAAAAAGGUCAAUAAAGGUUUAGUUCUCUCUUAAUUGUUAAAUUGUCACAAUUUCCGGAUAAAGUGUGCGUAUGUAAAAUGUGUGUAUGUUAAAUUCUAAAAUAUAACACUAAAAUUGUCGUGUUUUGCUUAUUAAAAAAGUGCUGCGUAAAAGAAAAAAAAAAGAA
Long non-coding RNA from Monomorium pharaonis (pharaoh ant), 8730 nucleotides. RefSeq lists it as uncharacterized. The record is from RefSeq and is a predicted model, not a curated record. Lineage: Eukaryota; Metazoa; Arthropoda; Insecta; Hymenoptera; Formicidae. The transcript has 2 exons.